RNAcentral lists this unclassified non-coding RNA (341 nucleotides) under soil metagenome. RNAcentral describes it as "partial contains 5.8S ribosomal RNA, internal transcribed spacer 2, and large subunit ribosomal RNA". The stretch from base 1 to 120 matches the Rfam family "5.8S ribosomal RNA", at positions 35 to 154 of the family's 154-position model. The record is from RNAcentral.
GAUGAAGAACGCAGCGAAAUGCGAUAAGUAGUGUGAAUUGCAGAAUUCAGUGAAUCAUCGAAUCUUUGAACGCACAUUGCGCCCUUUGGUAUUCCAAAGGGCAUGCCUGUUCGAGCGUCAUUUGUACCCUCAAGCUUUGCUUGGUGUUGGGCGUCUUGUCUCUAGCUUUGCUGGAGACUCGCCUUAAAGUAAUUGGCAGCCGGCCUACUGGUUUCGGAGCGCAGCACAAGUGGCACUCUCUAUCAGCAAAGGUCUAGCAUCCAUUAAGCCUUUUUUUCAACUUUUGACCUCGGAUCAGGUAGGGAUACCCGCUGAACUUAAGCAUAUCAAUAAGCGGAGGA